This 195-nucleotide long non-coding RNA is filed under the name Carassius auratus (goldfish). Its description in RNAcentral is "lncRNA (ENSCARG00000033671.1)". The record is from RNAcentral. Lineage: Eukaryota; Metazoa; Chordata; Actinopteri; Cypriniformes; Cyprinidae.
UUUGUGAGACUGACAGAGAAUGUGUAUUGAUGUAUCUGCAAAUAUCUUAAAGGCAUCACUUAUCUCUUUACCUUUGAACCUCUGAUGUGUAAGAGGACGGGUUCCAACUCCACAUGCACUGUUUCUGCCCUAUAUAAGACCUUUGCCUCUGCUGUCCGUCCUCGCACAUUCAGAGCAGCACCACUCAGAGCUUAA